This 574-nucleotide ribosomal RNA is filed under the name Epichloe coenophiala. RNAcentral's name for it is "eukaryotic LSU rRNA". It matches the Rfam family "Eukaryotic large subunit ribosomal RNA", at positions 54 to 649 of the family's 3401-position model. Lineage: Eukaryota; Fungi; Ascomycota; Sordariomycetes; Hypocreales; Clavicipitaceae. The record is from RNAcentral.
AGGAAAAGAAACCAACAGGGAUUGCCCCAGUAACGGCGAGUGAAGCGGCAACAGCUCAAAUUUGAAAUCUGGCCCCCCGGGGCCCGAGUUGUAAUUUGCAGAGGAUGCUUUUGGCGAGGCGCCUUCCGAGUUCCCUGGAACGGGACGCCACAGAGGGUGAGAGCCCCGUCUGGUUGGAUGCCGAGCCUCUGUAAAGCUCCUUCGACGAGUCGAGUAGUUUGGGAAUGCUGCUCUAAAUGGGAGGUAUAUGUCUUCUAAAGCUAAAUAUUGGCCAGAGACCGAUAGCGCACAAGUAGAGUGAUCGAAAGAUGAAAAGCACUUUGAAAAGAGGGUUAAAUAGUACGUGAAAUUGUUGAAAGGGAAGCGCUCAUGACCAGACUUGGGGCCCGGUGAAUCAUCCAGCGUUCUCGCCGGUGCACUUUGCCGGGCUCAGGCCAGCAUCAGUUCGCCCUGGGGGAGAAAGGCUCUGGGAAUGUGGCUCCUCCGGGAGUGUUAUAGCCCUCUGCGCAAUGCCCUGGGGCGGACUGAGGUCCGCGCAUCUGCAAGGAUGCUGGCGUAAUGGUCAUCAGCGACC